GGUUUCCGUAGGUGAACCUGCGGAAGGAUCAUUAUUGAAUAAACUUGAACAGGCUGUUUUGCUGGCCCCUCGGUGGGGUAAGUGCACGCUUGUCAUCUUUGUUUCUCCCAACUGUGCACAUAUUGUAGACCCUGGAUUGAGGAUUGCUGUGUGGGCUUUCCUUGCAUUUNUUUUCCAGGUCUAUGUUGUUUUCACAAUCUCUGAAUGUUGUUAGAAUGUUUGUUGGAAUAUAUACAACUUUCAGCAAUGGAUCUCUUGGCUCUCGCAUCGAUGAAGAACGCAGCGAAAUGCGAUAAGUAAUGUGAAUUGCAGAAUUCAGUGAAUCAUCGAAUCUUUGAACGCAUCUUGCGCUCCUUGGUAUUCCGAGGAGCAUGCCUGUUUGAGUGUCAUCAAGUUCUCAACUGCACCAAUCUUUUUUUGGUGUGGCUUUGGAUAUGGGGGAAUUUGUUUUGCAGGCUUUUGAAGUCUGCUCCCCUGAAAUGUAUUAGUGGUAUCUGAGCAGGGACUACUACAGGUGUGAUAAAUCUAUCUAUGCCUUGGUACAAACUGCUACACUGCUUCUAACAGUUUUUGACAAAUUUGACCUCAAAUCAGGUAGGACUACCCGCUGAACUUAAGCAUAUCAAUAAGCGGAGGAAAAGAAACUAACAAGGAUUCCCCUAGUAACUGCGAGUGAAGCGGGAAAAGCUCAAAUUUAAAAUCUGGCGGUUUCUG
This 714-nucleotide ribosomal RNA is filed under the name uncultured Inocybe. RNAcentral describes it as "eukaryotic LSU rRNA". The stretch from base 236 to 389 matches the Rfam family "5.8S ribosomal RNA". The record is from RNAcentral. Lineage: Eukaryota; Fungi; Basidiomycota; Agaricomycetes; Agaricales; Cortinariaceae.